AGAGUUUGAUCAUGGCUCAGAACGAACGCUGGCGGAGUUAAUACAUGCAAGUCGUGCGAGAAAGAGGUUUUCGGACCUUGAGUAGAGCGGCGAACGGGUGAGUAACACGUAAAUAACCUGGCCCUAAAUUUGGGAUAACCUUGCUAACGCGGGGCUAAUACCGGAUGUGGUUCCAUUGACUCAUGUUUUUGGAAUUAAAGAUGACCUCUACUUGUAAGUUAUUGUUUAGGGAUGGAUUUGCGGCCCAUUAGUUUGUUGGUGAGGUAACGGCUCACCAAGGCGAUGAUGGGUAGCCGACCUGAGAGGGUGAUCGGCCACAUUGGGACUGAGAUACGGCCCAGACUCCUACGGGAGGCAGCAGUAGGGAAUUUUGCGCAAUGGACGAAAGUCUGACGCAGCAACUCCGCGUGAGGGAUGAAUGUCUUCGGAUUGUAAACCUCUGUUGACAAGGAAGAAAUGGAUUGUAGCUAAUAUCUGCAGUUCUUGACGGUACUUGUCGAGGAAGCACCGGCUAACUACGUGCCAGCAGCCGCGGUAAUACGUAGGGUGCAAGCGUUGUUCGGAAUCACUGGGCGUAAAGAGAGCGUAGGCGGGAAGGUAAGUUAGGAGUUUAAUAUAUCGGCUCAACCGGUAUUCGGCUUUUAAUACUGCUUUUCUUGAAUAUGGGAGAGGAAGAUGGAAUUUCAGGUGUAGCGGUGGAAUGCGUAGAUAUCUGAAAGAACACCAGUUGCGAAGGCGGUCUUCUGGCCCAAUAUUGACGCUGAGGCUCGAAAGCUAGGGGAGCGAACAGGAUUAGAUACCCUAGUAGUCC
Molecule: ribosomal RNA, 811 nt
Filed under: uncultured bacterium
Lineage: Bacteria
Description: bacterial SSU rRNA
Rfam family: Bacterial small subunit ribosomal RNA
Source: RNAcentral